This 460-nucleotide ribosomal RNA is filed under the name uncultured bacterium. RNAcentral describes it as "partial 16S ribosomal RNA". It matches the Rfam family "Bacterial small subunit ribosomal RNA", at positions 338 to 795 of the family's 1533-position model. The record is from RNAcentral.
CCUACGGGUGACAGCAGUGAGGAAUAUUGGUCAAUGGCCGUAAGGCUGCACCAGCCAAGUAGCGUGAGGGAAGACUGCCCUAUGGGUUGUCAACCUCUUUUAUGCGGGGAUCAAGGUGUCCACGUGUGUAUGUUUGCAGGUACCUCAUGAAUAAGGACCGGCUAAUGCCGUGCCAGCAGCCGCGGUAAUACGGAAGGUCCGGGCGUUAUCCGGAUUUAUUGGGUUUAAAGGGAGCGUAGGACGGUCUUUAAGCUUGCCGUGAAAUUUUGUGGCUCAACCAUGCGGGUGCGGCGCGAAAUGGAGACCUUGAGUGCGCGGAAGGCAAGAGGAAUUCGUGGUGUAGCGGUGAAAUGCUUAGAUAUCACGAAGAACCCCGAUUGCGAAGGCAGCCUGCCGCAGCGUUACUGACGCUGAAGCUCGAAAGCGCGGGUAUCGAACAGGAUUAGAUACCCCAGUAGUC